Molecule: ribosomal RNA, 484 nt
Filed under: uncultured bacterium
Lineage: Bacteria
Description: partial 16S ribosomal RNA
Rfam family: Bacterial small subunit ribosomal RNA
Source: RNAcentral
AUUGAACGCUGGCGGCAUGCUUUACACAUGCAAGUCGAACGGCAGCGCGGGCUUCGGCCUGGCGGCGAGUGGCGAACGGGUGAGUAAUGCAUCGGAACGUGCCCAGUAGUGGGGGAUAGCCCGGCGAAAGCCGGAUUAAUACCGCAUACGACCUGAGGGUAAAAGCGGGGGACCGAAAGGCCUCGCGCUAUUGGAGCGGCCGAUGUCGGAUUAGCUAGUUGGUGGGGUAAAGGCUUACCAAGGCGACGAUCCGUAGCUGGUCUGAGAGGACGACCAGCCACACUGGGACUGAGACACGGCCCAGACUCCUACGGGAGGCAGCAGUGGGGAAUUUUGGACAAUGGGGGCAACCCUGAUCCAGCCAUGCCGCGUGCGAGAAGAAGGCCUUCGGGUUGUAAACCGCUUUUGUUCGGGAAGAAAUCCUCUGGGCUAAUACCCCGGGGGGAUGACGGUACCGGAAGAAUAAGCACCGGCUAACUACGUG